This 284-nucleotide long non-coding RNA is filed under the name Lathyrus oleraceus (garden pea). RNAcentral describes it as "Pisum sativum (pea) long non-coding RNA (PSAT_LNC009496)". The record is from RNAcentral. Lineage: Eukaryota; Viridiplantae; Streptophyta; Magnoliopsida; Fabales; Fabaceae.
UUGCCUUUGAUAAACACCAUAACAAUAGAUAACGAUAGAUUGACACUUGGUCUCUGUGGAUUCGACAAUCUUUUAUAUCACUCUGACGCGUUCGUAUACUUGCGAAAAGCACGCAUCAAUAAUCCCUAAACUCGUUGGGUUCUCUUAUCUGUCACUACCCUAAUGUGACACUUACAUUGCAUCUAAAAAAAACUUUUAGCAUACCUUCAAAAUAAAAAAUAAAACAAAAAAUAUUUUUGCAUUUUCAUGCAUUUGCAUACAUACACAUACAUUUGCAUAUUCUU